Molecule: long non-coding RNA, 262 nt
Organism: Notolabrus celidotus (New Zealand spotty)
Lineage: Eukaryota; Metazoa; Chordata; Actinopteri; Labriformes; Labridae
Exons: 3
Source: RefSeq, a predicted model, not a curated record
UUCUUGUGUUCCCUGUGUUUUAUUUGGAUUUAAUUCUUGGACGUUUUUACUGCUUCUGAACCAGAACCUCGAAGCCCACCACCGACGUCGUCCCCUGAGGGUCCUUCUUGUCCGUCUGAUGAAGAGAAGGAUUACAUCACUCAGAUGAUACUAAAUCAACAGGGACAGCUCCUGUUCCUGGGCCAACUUGACACGAGGCAUAUUUAAUGAUCCAAAAGUGUCUGAACCAAAAAAAAUCCCAAUAAAGAUUUUUUAAAUUUCA